Molecule: unclassified non-coding RNA, 103 nt
Organism: Cercocebus atys (sooty mangabey)
Lineage: Eukaryota; Metazoa; Chordata; Mammalia; Primates; Cercopithecidae
Rfam family: Y RNA
About the family: Y RNAs are components of the Ro ribonucleoprotein particle (Ro RNP), in association with Ro60 and La proteins.
Source: Ensembl
GGCUGGUCUGAGUGUAAUGGUGCUUACAACUUAAUUGAUCACAACCAGUUACAGAUUCCUUUGUUUCUUCUCCACUCCAGCUGCUUCACUUGACUAGCUUUAA